Molecule: ribosomal RNA, 495 nt
Filed under: uncultured bacterium
Lineage: Bacteria
Description: bacterial SSU rRNA
Rfam family: Bacterial small subunit ribosomal RNA
Source: RNAcentral
AUUGAACGCUGGCGGAAUGCUUUACACAUGCAAGUCGAACGGUAGAGGGGGCAACCCCUUGAGAGUGGCGAACGGGUGAGUAAUAUAUCGGAACGUGCCCAGUCGUGGGGAUAACGUAGCGAAAGUUACGCUAAUACCGCAUACGAUCUAAGGAUGAAAGCGGGGGAUCGCAAGACCUCGCGCGAUUGGAGCGGCCGAUAUCAGAUUAGGUAGUUGGUGAGGUAAAGGCUCACCAAGCCAACGAUCUGUAGCUGGUCUGAGAGGACGACCAGCCACACUGGAACUGAGACACGGUCCAGACUCCUACGGGAGGCAGCAGUGGGGAAUUUUGGACAAUGGACGCAAGUCUGAUCCAGCCAUUCCGCGUGCAGGAUGAAGGCCCUCGGGUUGUAAACUGCUUUUGUACGGAACGAAAAGGUUUCUAUUAAUACUAGGAGCUCAUGACGGUACCGUAAGAAUAAGCACCGGCUAACUACGUGCCAGCAGCCGCGGUAA